CAUUCCUCCACCAUUCAUCAAUCCCGACACCACUCCACCUCAUUUCCAGAAUGCCAGUGGCAAAGAUGGAAAGGAAGAGAGAGAUGAACCAGAUACUCGCUAUGUUGCUAAUCUGCAAUCAAAAUCAUGCAGUUUGGAUCACAAACGAAAAAACCACUAGGAAAGAGCACCAACUUGGAUCAUUCCAGGAUGAUCUCUGGUGUUAUUCCCUGGCCAGGGCAUGCCAUCUUGCAUGAUCCAUCCCUCUUCAGGAACUUUCUGUGCCUUUGCAACAAGGGCAUUGAUGCGGACUUUAAACUCCUCGUAUUCUCUCUGUGGUAAACAGAUUGGUUGUCAGAUUCAGAUCAAGGCAUGUCCAAAGAAAUAGAAAGAUACAUCUAAAGACAAAACCGUGUAAUUUAGAUACCUUCAUAGCUCUGCGAUCUUUCACAAAUGAAGGAUGAACUUUGUCUUUCAGGUAA
Elaeis guineensis (African oil palm) is the source of this 461-nucleotide non-coding RNA. Lineage: Eukaryota; Viridiplantae; Streptophyta; Magnoliopsida; Arecales; Arecaceae. The record is from RefSeq and is a predicted model, not a curated record.